Molecule: ribosomal RNA, 287 nt
Filed under: Mycobacteroides abscessus subsp. abscessus
Lineage: Bacteria; Bacillati; Actinomycetota; Actinomycetes; Mycobacteriales; Mycobacteriaceae
Also listed under: 1 other name
Description: partial 16S ribosomal RNA
Rfam family: Bacterial small subunit ribosomal RNA
Source: RNAcentral
UGGCCAGUACAGAGGGCUGCGAAGCCGUAAGGUGGAGCGAAUCCCUUAAAGCUGGUCUCAGUUCGGAUUGGGGUCUGCAACUCGACCCCAUGAAGUCGGAGUCGCUAGUAAUCGCAGAUCAGCAACGCUGCGGUGAAUACGUUCCCGGGCCUUGUACACACCGCCCGUCGCGUCAUGAAAGUCGGUAACACCCGAAGCCAGUGGCCUAACCUUUUGGAGGGAGCUGUCGAAGGUGGGAUCGGCGAUUGGGACGAAGUCGUAACAAGGUAGCCGUACCGGAAGGUGCG